UCUGUCCUGACUUCUGGCCCUCCUCGGGCAGC
RNAcentral lists this non-coding RNA (32 nucleotides) under Homo sapiens (human). Lineage: Eukaryota; Metazoa; Chordata; Mammalia; Primates; Hominidae. The record is from RNAcentral.